GCCCCCCCGUGCCCAGUAAUCGGUACGGGUGAUGAGAGUCAGAGCCCGGAGACGGAAUCUGAGACAAGAUUCCGGGCCCUACGGGGCGCAGCAGGCGCGAAACCUUUACACUUGCACGGAAGUGCGAUAGGGGAAUCCCAAGUGCGAGGGCAUAUUAGCCCUCGCUUUUGUUGACUGUAAGGUGGUCAACGAAUAAGAGCUGGGCAAGACCGGUGCCAGCCGCCGCGGUAAUACCGGCAGCUCAAGUGAUGUCCCAUAUUAUUGGGCCUAAAGCGUCCGUAGCUGGCCAACCAAGUCUAUCGGGAAAUCCACCUGCCCAACGGGUGGGCGUCCGGUAGAAACUGGCUGGCUUGGAGCCGGAAGGCUCAGAGAGUACGUCCGGGGUAGGAGUGAAAUCCCGUAAUCCCGGACGGACUACCGAUGGCGAAAGCACUCUGAGAAGACGGCUUCGACAGUGAGGGACGAAAGCUCGGGUCUCAAACCGGAUUAGAUACCCGGGUAGUCCGAGCCGUAAACGAUGCUCGUUAGGUGUGGCACCCACUACGAGUGGGUGCUGUGCCGUAGGGAAGCCGCUAAACGAGCCGCCUGGGAAGUACGUCCGCAAGGAUGAAACUUAAAGGAAUUGGCGGGGGAGCACUACAACCGGAGGAGCCUGCGGUUUAAUUGGACUCAACGCCGGACAUCUCACCAGCCCCGACAUCAGUAAUGACGGUCAUGUUGACGACAUCCGCCCGAGCUGAUGAGAGGAGGUGCAUGGCCGCCGUCAGCUCGUACCGUGAGGCAUCCUGUUAAGUCAGGCAACGAGCGAGAUCCACGUCCCUAAUUGCCAGCACCACCGCCAGGUGGGUGGGUACAUUAGGGAGACUGCCAGUGCUAAACUGGAGGAAGGAAUGGGCAACGGUAGGUCAGUAUGCCCCGAAUGGGCUGGGCAACACGCGGGCUACAAUGGUCAGGACAACGGGUUCCAACACUGAAAAGUGGCGGUAAUCUCGCAAACCUGGUCGUAGUUCGGAUUGCGGGCUGAAACUCGCCCGCAUGAAGCUGGAUUCGGUAGUAAUCGCGUGUCAGCAGCGCGCGGUGAAUACGUCCCUGCUCCUUGCACACAA
RNAcentral lists this ribosomal RNA (1106 nucleotides) under uncultured haloarchaeon. RNAcentral's name for it is "bacterial SSU rRNA". It matches the Rfam family "Archaeal small subunit ribosomal RNA", at positions 246 to 1346 of the family's 1478-position model. Lineage: Archaea; Methanobacteriati; Methanobacteriota; Halobacteria; Halobacteriales; Halobacteriaceae. The record is from RNAcentral.